CCUACGGGUGGCAGCAGUCGAGAAUCAUUCACAAUGGGGGAAACCCUGAUGCUGCGACGCCGCGUGGGUGAAUGAAGGUCUUCGUAUUGUAAACCCCUGUCAUGGGGGAGCAAAUAAAAAAGAUAGUACCACAAGAGGAAGAGUCGGCUCACUCUGUGCCAGCAGCCACGGUAAUACAGAGGUCUCAAGCGUUGUUCGGAAUCACUGGGCGUAAAGCGUGCGUAGGCUGUUUCGUAAGACGUGUGUGAAAGGCGCGGGCUCAACCGGCGAACGGCAAAUGAUACUGCGAGACUAGAGUAAUGGAGGGGCAACCGGAAUUCGUGGUGUAGCAGUGAAAUGCGUAGAUA
This 347-nucleotide ribosomal RNA is filed under the name uncultured bacterium. RNAcentral describes it as "partial 16S ribosomal RNA". It matches the Rfam family "Bacterial small subunit ribosomal RNA", at positions 338 to 696 of the family's 1533-position model. The record is from RNAcentral.